Long non-coding RNA from Canis lupus familiaris (dog), 1975 nucleotides. RefSeq lists it as uncharacterized. The record is from RefSeq and is a predicted model, not a curated record. Lineage: Eukaryota; Metazoa; Chordata; Mammalia; Carnivora; Canidae. The transcript is spliced from 4 exons.
GGGUGGGGGGGCACACAAUUCAACCCCAAACAAUAUUUAAAAGGGUUGGCAGCUGGGCGGGGGAACCCAGUGUAAGAACUGUGGUGAUUUAUGCCAAGUGUAGGGGCUGAAGUAGGCAGUGGGAAAGGGUCACACCGCAGGUCAGAGCCUCUUAAAGCAUGCACAAAUGCACUGUAAUGAAACCAGCGUGUGGACUCUUACUUCACAAUGGGCAUAACUGCCCACAGUGGGCAGCACAUGGCCCCAGUCAAGUAAAAGACUCCUUACCACCUUCCCUGAAUCUUUCUCCCCAGUCCCUGUAUAUUGGAGUAGAAGAGACACAGGAAGAGGAGGAUGUAUCCCCAGAAUGAAGGAGCAGACCACAGCCCAACUCCCCACUAAGGAACCUAGAGCCAUUGGAAAGAGCUAUACUGGAGGGAAUGGAGGAGAAAGGCAGGGCCAAAUUUACUUGAAGUUUCACUGCAUCAGACUGAACCAGGCUUUGUGAACCUAAGUGGACAUACGGGUCUGAGAUUUGCCCACGAUAUGAUCAAGGGGUGGGGAAAGGGGCUUUAAUGGCCAGUAAGUGAGGGAAAGUAUUAUAUGCUUAUAUUUUUCCUGCUAAGUCAGUUCAGCAUAGGAGAUGUCAGAAUUCAAGUCUAAACUGUGUGACCUGGAGCAAAUCUUACACCACCUCUGAGUUUCAGAUGCCCCAUCUAUAUAUUUUGGCUGAUAAUUUAACACACACACACAACCUCUGCAAGACUACAGAAGAACUCUCUACGUUUUGGGGUUGUGUUCUUUCAAUUAUAGAAUGUGGAAUGUUAAAGCUGGAGGGAAUCUGGAAAACAUUUUAUCUAACACUAUCAUCCUGCUGGGAAGGAAGCUAGGGCUUAAGAAAUAAUCUACAUCUUUAUGUAACUAAAUUUAUGCACAGGGAUUUUCGUAAAAAUGUCAUUAAAAGGAAAUGUCCAACAUUUGGGGAACUUACCAAAAGCCUAACUAUGUGAGAGAAAGUACAACAAAUGUCAUUGCCCUUAAGGCAUUGGUGAAGAUCCACUGCAGCUGAGGGAAGAGAACAAAAAGAAAAACUUCUACACCAAAAGGAAAAGCAGGAAUAGUAUGAGGUCCAGGCUAUAACUAGAGGAGGAGGACAUGGUCACAUCUCUGAGACCCUGGGAUAUAGUUCCUAUUAAAAGACAGGGGCUUAAUCAGAAAAACAGAGAAUACCCCUCUCCCACCACUACCAGGCUAACAAGUGUCCAGUAACAAGUAAUAAUGGAAUACUGCUGGAGAAGAAUAGAAGAAGAAUCCAAGAGUGGAGUUCUCUGAGACAUGGUGCAAAAAGAAGACUGCAAACUGAUGGCAGAGCAGACACUGAGACAAACCCUUUCACAAACUAGCCCAUACCCUAAACAGAAGAUAUCACUAGAGGAAUUUGAAGCCUUGAAGCCUGUAGUCUGCUGAGAGUGAACAUAGCAACAUCAGACUCAGCAUUUCUAAUUGUAACACUCCAGACUUAAUGACAAAUAUCAAACUCUAAAUCCAAGAAGCUCAGAAACCAAAGAAGGGUAAAUACCACACACACACACACACACACACACACACACACACACACACCUAUUCAUUCAUAUAUUCAAUCCACUGAACACAAAGUCAAAGAGAAAAUCUUGAAAACAGCCAAAGGAAAAUCACACAUUAUAUACAGAUUUAAAAAGAUAAGAAUUACGAUAGACUACUUGUCAGAACCAUGACUUCAAAUAGUAAAGACUUAACCAGACAAACUGGGAGAAUUCACUGCCAGCAGACUGUACAAAAAAUGCUGAGGAAGUUCUUCGGCAAGCAAAAGAAAUAUGAUAUGAGACAGAAACUUGGAUAAACACAAAGAAGUGAAGAGCCUUGAAAAUAGAAUAAAUGAAGAUAAAAUGAAAUUGAUUUCUCUUUGUAUAUCAAAAUUAACUAUUUAAAGUUAAAAAUAGGGAUCCCUGGGUGGCGC